RNAcentral lists this ribosomal RNA (457 nucleotides) under Escherichia coli. RNAcentral's name for it is "bacterial SSU rRNA". It matches the Rfam family "Bacterial small subunit ribosomal RNA", at positions 514 to 970 of the family's 1533-position model. Lineage: Bacteria; Pseudomonadati; Pseudomonadota; Gammaproteobacteria; Enterobacterales; Enterobacteriaceae. The record is from RNAcentral.
GCCGCGGUAAUACGGAGGGUGCAAGCGUUAAUCGGAAUUACUGGGCGUAAAGCGCACGCAGGCGGUUUGUUAAGUCAGAUGUGAAAUCCCCGGGCUCAACCUGGGAACUGCAUCUGAUACUGGCAAGCUUGAGUCUCGUAGAGGGGGGUAGAAUUCCAGGUGUAGCGGUGAAAUGCGUAGAGAUCUGGAGGAAUACCGGUGGCGAAGGCGGCCCCCUGGACGAAGACUGACGCUCAGGUGCGAAAGCGUGGGGAGCAAACAGGAUUAGAUACCCUGGUAGUCCACGCCGUAAACGAUGUCGACUUGGAGGUUGUGCCCUUGAGGCGUGGCUUCCGGAGCUAACGCGUUAAGUCGACCGCCUGGGGAGUACGGCCGCAAGGUUAAAACUCAAAUGAAUUGACGGGGGCCCGCACAAGCGGUGGAGCAUGUGGUUUAAUUCGAUGCAACGCGAAGAACC